GAUGAACGCUGGCGGCGUGCCUAAUACAUGCAAGUCGAGCGAACAGAUGAGGAGCUUGCUCCUCUGACGUUAGCGGCGGACGGGUGGGUAACACGUGGAUAACCUACCUAUAAGACUGGGAUAACUUCGGGAAACCGGAGCUAAUACCGGAUAAUAUAUUGAACCGCAUGGUUCAAUAGUGAAAGACGGUUUUGCUGUCACUUAUAGAUGGAUCCGCGCCGCAUUAGCUAGUUGGUAAGGUAGCGGCUUACCAAGGCAACGAUGCGUAGCCGACCUGAGAGGGUGAUCGGCUACACUGGAUGUGAGAAACGGCCCACACUCCUACGGGAGGACGCAGUAGGGAAUCUUACGCGAUGGGGGAAAGCCUGACGGAGCAACGCCGCGUGAGUCAUGAAGGUGUUCGGCUCGGAGAGCUCUGUAAUUAGGAAAGAAGAAAUGUGUAAGUACCCAUGCAGGUAUUGACGGUACCGAGUCAGUAAGCUCCGGCUAACUACGCG
This 497-nucleotide ribosomal RNA is filed under the name uncultured bacterium. RNAcentral's name for it is "partial 16S ribosomal RNA". It matches the Rfam family "Bacterial small subunit ribosomal RNA", at positions 28 to 507 of the family's 1533-position model. The record is from RNAcentral.